GCGAAAACUUUACAAUGCUGGCAACAGCGAUAAGGGAACCUCGAGUGCCAGGUUACAAAUCUGGCUGUCGAGAUGCCUAAAAAGCAUUUCAUAGCAAGGGCCGGGCAAGACCGGUGCCAGCCGCCGCGGUAACACCGGCGGCUCGAGUGGUAACCGUUAUUAUUGGGUCUAAAGGGUCUGUAGCCGGCCGGAUAAGUCUCUUGAGAAAUCUGGCAGCUUAACUGUCAGGCUUUCAGGAGAUACUGUCUGGCUUGAGGCCGGGAGAGGUGAGAGGUACUUCAGGGGAAGGGGUGAAAUCUUGUAAUCCUUGAAGGACCACCUGUGGCGAAGGCGUCUCACCAGAACGGACCUGACGGCAAGGGACGAAAGCUAGGGGCACGAACC
This 384-nucleotide ribosomal RNA is filed under the name uncultured prokaryote. RNAcentral describes it as "bacterial SSU rRNA". It matches the Rfam family "Archaeal small subunit ribosomal RNA", at positions 341 to 725 of the family's 1478-position model. The record is from RNAcentral.